UACACUCCUACGGGAGGCAGCAGUGGGGAAUUUUGGACAAUGGGCGAAAGCCUGAUCCAGCAAUGCCGCGUGAGUGAAGAAGGCCUUCGGGUUGUAAAGCUCUUUUGUCAGGGAAGAAACGGUGAAAGCUAAUAUCCUUUGCUAAUGACGGUACCUGAAGAAUAAGCACCGGCUAACUACGUGCCAGCAGCCGCGGUAAUACGUAGGGUGCAAGCGUUAAUCGGAAUUACUGGGCGUAAAGCGUGCGCAGGCGGUUUUGUAAGUCUGAUGUGAAAUCCCCGGGCUCAACCUGGGAAUUGCAUUGGAGACUGCAAGGCUAGAAUCUGGCAGAGGGGGGUAGAAUUCCACGUGUAGCAGUGAAAUGCGUAGAUAUGUGGAGGAACACCGAUGGCGAAGGCAGCCCCCUGGGUCAAGAUUGACGCUCAUGCACGAAAGCGUGGGGAGCAAACAGGAUUAGAUACCCCAGUAGUCCC
RNAcentral lists this ribosomal RNA (473 nucleotides) under uncultured organism. Its description in RNAcentral is "partial 16S ribosomal RNA". It matches the Rfam family "Bacterial small subunit ribosomal RNA", at positions 332 to 797 of the family's 1533-position model. The record is from RNAcentral.